CCUACGGGAGGCAGCAGUGGGGAAUAUUGCGCAAUGGGCGAAAGCCUGACGCAGCGACGCCGCGUGUGGGAUGACGGCCUUCGGGUUGUAAACCACUGUCGGGAGGGACGCGGUACCUCCAAAGGAAGCACCGGCUAACUCCGUGCCAGCAGCCGCGGUAAUACGGAGGGUGCGAGCGUUGUCCGGAAUCACUGGGCGUAAAGGGCGCGUAGGCGGCCUGAUAAGUAGGGGGUGAAAUCUUGCGGCUUAACAGCAAGGCUGCCUUCUAAACUGUCAGGCUAGAGCACAGUAGAGGCAGGUGGAAUUCCCGGUGUAGCGGUGGAAUGCGUAGAGAUCGGGAAGAACAUCAGUGGCGAAGGCGGCCUGCUGGGCUGUGCUGACGCUGAGGCGCGACAGCGUGGGGAGCAAACAGGAUUAGAUACCCUUGUAGUC
RNAcentral lists this ribosomal RNA (432 nucleotides) under uncultured bacterium. RNAcentral's name for it is "partial 16S ribosomal RNA". It matches the Rfam family "Bacterial small subunit ribosomal RNA", at positions 338 to 795 of the family's 1533-position model. The record is from RNAcentral.